Molecule: ribosomal RNA, 253 nt
Filed under: uncultured bacterium
Lineage: Bacteria
Description: partial 16S ribosomal RNA
Rfam family: Bacterial small subunit ribosomal RNA
Source: RNAcentral
UACAGGGGGUGCAAACGUUGCUCGGAAUUAUUGGGCGUAAAGCGCGCGUAGGCGGCUACUUAAGUCGGAUGUGAAAGCCCCUGGCUCAACUGGGGAAGUGCACCCGAAACUGAGUGGCUUGAGUGCGAAAGAGGGUCGCGGAAUUCCCGGUGUAGCGGUGAAAUGCGUAGAGAUCGGAAGGAACGUCGAUGGCGAAGGCAGGCACCUGGCUUGAUACUGACGCUGAAGCGCGAAAGCGUGGGGAGCGAACAGG